Molecule: ribosomal RNA, 267 nt
Filed under: uncultured bacterium
Lineage: Bacteria
Description: partial 16S ribosomal RNA
Rfam family: Bacterial small subunit ribosomal RNA
Source: RNAcentral
UACGUAGGUGGCAAGCGUUGUCCGGAUUUAUUGGGUUUAAAGGGUCCGUAGGCGGUUUGGUAAGUCAGUGGUGAAAGCCCAUCGCUCAACGGUGGAACGGCCAUUGAUACUGCCAGACUUGAAUUAUUAGGAAGUAACUAGAAUAUGUAGUGUAGCGGUGAAAUGCUUAGAGAUUACAUGGAAAUACCAAUUGCGAAGGCAGGUUACUACUAAUGGAUUGACGCUGAUGGACGAAAGCGUGGGUAGCGAACAGGAUUAGACUACCCG